Molecule: ribosomal RNA, 424 nt
Filed under: uncultured bacterium
Lineage: Bacteria
Description: bacterial SSU rRNA
Rfam family: Bacterial small subunit ribosomal RNA
Source: RNAcentral
UAAGGAAUAUUGGACAAUGCCCGCAAGGGUGAUCCAGCCAUGCCGCGUGCAGGAAGACGGCCCUAUGGGUUGUAAACUGCUUUUGUACGGGAGAAAACCCCUCUACGUGUAGAGGGCUGAUAGUACCGUAAGAAUAAGCAUCGGCUAACUUCGUGCCAGCAGCCGCGGUAAGACGAAGGAUGCAAGCGUUAUCCGGAUUCAUUGGGUUUAAAGGGAGCGUAGGUGGUCUUAUAAGUCAGUGGUGAAAUCCUGUCGCUUAACGAUAGAAUUGCCAUUGAUACUGUAGGACUUGAGUACAGUUGCCGUUGGCGGAAUAUGACAUGUAGUGGUGAAAUACAUAGAUAUGUCAUAGAACACCGAUUGCGAAGGCAGCUGACGAAACUGUAACUGACACUGAGGCUCGAAAGUGUGGGGAUCAAACAGG